Molecule: long non-coding RNA, 288 nt
Filed under: Gossypium barbadense (sea-island cotton)
Lineage: Eukaryota; Viridiplantae; Streptophyta; Magnoliopsida; Malvales; Malvaceae
Description: long non-coding RNA (GBAR_LNC001249)
Source: RNAcentral
UCUGCUCAGGAGCUUUUUUCAACUCUUCAGUACCGUCAAAUAAAGCCCUCUGAAAUCUAUAGCUAUAAUUUUCAUCUAACCACCGACGAUGCCCCAUAUAGCAGAACUUCUUCCCAUUAUAUAACCACUGUGAACACGUUUGAGCAGCACAACAAGGAUAAGCAUAACGUCCUCUGGUACUCCAACCAGAUAAAUUCGCAUAUGUCGGGAAAUCAUUAAUUGUCCACAGCAAAGCAGCACGUAGGUAAAAGUUCUCCUUUCUCAAUACAUCAUACGUCUCAACACUCG